ACAAAACUUUUAUCAAAAUAAGUGCGUGCAUUUUCUAAGAAGAUGACAUUGCCAUUGCAUUUACUUUUGUUAAGAAUACUAACUACACUGGAUAAAUCUGAAAUGAACAUCCUUAACAAAAUGCCUUAAUUAACCCCUAGAAGUUUACUCCAAUGGAGGAACAUAACCAAGAAGAGACAACCACAAGUGAUAACUGUCUUUAUAAUUUUAAUAGCUUCACUUCUACUGAAAUUUAAUUUUUGUAAAUUAUAUGCUUAUUAUUUAGAAGCUUAUAACUUCUAGAAGUUUACUCCAAUGCAGGAACAUAACCAAGAAGAAAUCUAAUUUCUUUUUGUUUUUUUUGUUUUUUUUUGAGAUGGAGUCUCGCUCUGUCAUCCAGGCUAGAGUGCAGUGGUGUGAUCUCGGCUCACUGUAACCUCUGCCUCUCAGGUUCAAGUGAUUCUUCUGCCUUAGCCUCCUGAGUAGCUGGGAUUACAGGUGUGUGCCACCAUGCCUGGCUAAUUUUUGUAAUUUAGUAGAGACGGGGUUUUACCAUAUUGGUCAGGCUGGUCUGGAACUCCUGACCUUGAGAUCUGCCUGCCUCAGCCUCCCAAAGUGCUGGCAUUACAGACAUGAGCCACUGCGCCCGGCCUAAAGAAAUUUAAUUUCUAUAAAUUAUAUGCUCAUUAUCUCAUUUUAAAUUUCAAAUAAUAAGCAAAUUCCACCUUUAUGGUAAGAAUGCAGCAAAUUGUUUGUAAUAUAAAUUCCAAAGACAGGCAGAAAGUAACUAUUAGGCCUAUGGGAAAAGGACCCUGAAGAAGAAAUCCAAAUACCUGGAAUCCUGUCUCUACCCUAGCAUUAAAGAAACAGCUCUUUAUUACUACUGAGCAACUUAAUCUCCUAUUAUCUUGGAUUUGUCCUUAUUUCUCUGCAUUCAGUUUCUUCUUCUCUACCUCUAAAGUACUAUGUCUUCACCUAUGCUCUCCAUACAGCAGUGACAGAAGGGGAAUUAAAGAGUUGGGUUUCCUCCCUCUCCCUCUCCCCACGGUCUCCCUCUCCCUCUCUUUCUACGGUCUCCCUCUGAUGCCUAGCGGAAGCUGGACUGUACUGCUGCCAUCUCGGCUCACUGCAACCUCCCUGUCUGAUUCUCCUGCCUCAGCCUGCCCAGUGCCUGUGAUUGCAGGCGCGCGCUGCCACGCCUGACUGGUUUUCAUAUUUUUUUGGUGGAGACGGGGUUUCGCUGUGUUGGCCGGGCUGGUCUCCAGCUCCUAACCGCGAGUGAUCUGCCAGCCUCGGCCUCCCGAGGUGCCGGGAUUGCAGACAGAGUCUCAUUCACUCAGUGCUCAAUGGUGCCCAGGCUGGAGUGCAGUGGCGUGAUCUCGGCUAGCUACAACCUCCACCUCCCAGCCGCCUGCCUUGGCCUCCCAAAGUGCCAAGAUUGCAGCCUCUGCCCGGACGCCACCCCAUCUGGGAAGUGAGGAGUGUCUCUGCCUGGCCGCCCAUCAUCUGGGAUGUGAGGAGCCCCUCUGCCCGACUGCCCAGUCUGGGAAGUGAAGAGCACCUCUUCCCGGCCGCCAUCCCAUCUAGGAAGUGAGGAGCGUCUCUGCCCGGCCGCCCAUCGUCUGAGAUGUGGGGAGCGCCUCUGCCCCGCCGCCCCGUCUGGGAUGUGAGGAGCGCCUCUGCCGGGCCGCGACCCCAUCUGGGAGAUGAGGAGCGUCUCUGCCCGGCCGCCCCAUCUGAGAAGUGAGGAGCCCCUCUGCCUGGCAGCCGCCCUGUCUGAGAAGUGAGGAGCCCCUCUGCCCGGCAGCCGACCCGUCUGAGAAGUGAGGAGCCUCUCCGCCUGGCAGCCGCCCCGUCUGAGAAGUGAGGAGCCCCUCCGCCCGGCAGCUGCCCUGUCUGGCCAUAGACUCUCCAACUCCUGCAACUGUCUGGAAUUUCUUCUCUCUCCAAUCCAUCUCUAGUAUUGAUGACAUAGAUACUGAGUUUACUACAAAUGGAAGGUUUGAGGCAACCUUGAUGGAGCAAGUGUAUGGGUGCCAUGUUUUUCCAACAUCAUGUGCUCACUUUGUGUCUCUGACAUAUUUUGUCUGGAACGGAACUAGCAAUAUCUCCAUGGAAUACCUGUAAUGAGCAGAUUUAACCUAAGAUGAGAAAAUAUUUCCACUGAAGUUUGAAAUUUAAGUACGUGUUAGCCAGGUAAAGUAGGGGGAAAAGUAUUUCAAGCAGAGGUUAAAGUCCCUGUGUUAAGGCUGUGAGGCCCAAGGGAAGGAGCUUUCCCUUUAAAAAGGACUGAAAGAAAGCAAAUGUGGUUUAAGCAUGGUUAGGGAGGAAAGAGGCCUGAAGGGGAGGGAAUCCUGGAGUGGGAUACAGAGGUAGGCAGGCAGAGUACAGAACAUUAGGGAUUUAUGGACUCAAGAUUUAUAUUCUCUGACACCAAAUUAGGAAAAAAAGAGGUCUCUAUUUUUGGCCAAGUUGUGUGUGUGUGUGUGUGUGUGUGUGUGUGUGUG
This 2486-nucleotide long non-coding RNA is filed under the name Homo sapiens (human). Its description in RNAcentral is "HSALNT0326360". Lineage: Eukaryota; Metazoa; Chordata; Mammalia; Primates; Hominidae. The record is from RNAcentral.